Molecule: ribosomal RNA, 2867 nt
Filed under: Vibrio parahaemolyticus
Lineage: Bacteria; Pseudomonadati; Pseudomonadota; Gammaproteobacteria; Vibrionales; Vibrionaceae
Description: bacterial LSU rRNA
Rfam family: Bacterial large subunit ribosomal RNA
Source: RNAcentral
GUUGUAUGGUUAAGUGACUAAGCGUACACGGUGGAUGCCUUGGCAGUCAGAGGCGAUGAAAGACGUAGUAACUUGCGAUAAGCCCAGAUUAGGUAGUAACAACCAUUUGAGUCUGGGAUUUCUGAAUGGGGAAACCCACGUGCAUAAGCACGUAUCCUUACCUGAAUACAUAGGGUAAGGAGGCGAACCGGGGGAACUGAAACAUCUAAGUACCCCGAGGAAAAGAAAUCAACCGAGAUUCCGAAAGUAGCGGCGAGCGAAAUUGGACUAGCCCUUAAGCUUUACACGCGUUAGACGAACGGUCUGGAAAGUCCGACGAUACAGGGUGAUAGUCCCGUAGUUGACGACGUGUGUUCAGUGAAAUCGAGUAGGGCGGGACACGUGAUAUCCUGUCUGAAUAUGGGGGGACCAUCCUCCAAGGCUAAAUACUACUGACUGACCGAUAGUGAACCAGUACCGUGAGGGAAAGGCGAAAAGAACCCCUGUGAGGGGAGUGAAAUAGAACCUGAAACCGUGUACGUACAAGCAGUAGGAGCAGGCUUCGUCCUGUGACUGCGUACCUUUUGUAUAAUGGGUCAGCGACUUAUAUUCAGUGGCAAGGUUAACCAUCUAGGGGAGCCGUAGGGAAACCGAGUCUUAACUGGGCGUUCAGUCUCUGGAUAUAGACCCGAAACCAGGUGAUCUAGCCAUGGGCAGGUUGAAGGUUGAGUAACAUCAACUGGAGGACCGAACCGACUAAUGUUGAAAAAUUAGCGGAUGACUUGUGGCUAGGGGUGAAAGGCCAAUCAAACCUGGAGAUAGCUGGUUCUCCCCGAAAGCUAUUUAGGUAGCGCCUCGGACGAAUACUACUGGGGGUAGAGCACUGUUAAGGCUAGGGGGUCAUCCCGACUUACCAACCCUUUGCAAACUCCGAAUACCAGUAAGUACUAUCCGGGAGACACACGGCGGGUGCUAACGUCCGUCGUGGAGAGGGAAACAACCCAGACCGCCAGCUAAGGUCCCAAAUUACUACUAAGUGGGAAACGAUGUGGGAAGGCUCAGACAGCCAGGAUGUUGGCUUAGAAGCAGCCAUCAUUUAAAGAAAGCGUAAUAGCUCACUGGUCGAGUCGGCCUGCGCGGAAGAUGUAACGGGGCUAAGUAGUAAACCGAAGCUGCGGCAAUACUCUUUGAGUAUUGGGUAGGGGAGCGUUCUGUAAGCGGUUGAAGGUGUGUGGUAACGCAUGCUGGACGUAUCAGAAGUGCGAAUGCUGACAUGAGUAACGAUAAAGGGGGUGAAAAACCUCCUCGCCGGAAGACCAAGGGUUCCUGUCCAACGUUAAUCGGGGCAGGGUAAGUCGACCCCUAAGGCGAGGCCGAAAGGCGUAGUCGAUGGGAAACGGGUUAAUAUUCCCGUACUUCUUACAAUUGCGAUGGGGGGACGGAGAAGGCUAGGUGGGCCUGGCGACGGUUGUCCAGGUUCAAGUGCGUAGGCUUGAGAGUUAGGUAAAUCCGGCUCUCUUUAAGGCUGAGACACGACGUCGAGCACCUACGGGUGUGAAGUCAUUGAUGCCAUGCUUCCAGGAAAAGCCUCUAAGCUUCAGAUUGUAAGGAAUCGUACCCCAAACCGACACAGGUGGUCGGGUAGAGAAUACCAAGGCGCUUGAGAGAACUCGGGUGAAGGAACUAGGCAAAAUGGUACCGUAACUUCGGGAGAAGGUACGCUCUUGAUGGUGAAGUCCCUCGCGGAUGGAGCUGACGAGAGUCGCAGAUACCAGGUGGCUGCAACUGUUUAUUAAAAACACAGCACUGUGCAAAAUCGUAAGAUGACGUAUACGGUGUGACGCCUGCCCGGUGCCGGAAGGUUAAUUGAUGGGGUUAGACUUCGGUCGAAGCUCUUGAUCGAAGCCCCGGUAAACGGCGGCCGUAACUAUAACGGUCCUAAGGUAGCGAAAUUCCUUGUCGGGUAAGUUCCGACCUGCACGAAUGGCGUAAUGAUGGCCACGCUGUCUCCACCCGAGACUCAGUGAAAUUGAAAUCGCUGUGAAGAUGCAGUGUACCCGCGGCUAGACGGAAAGACCCCGUGAACCUUUACUACAGCUUGGCACUGAACAUUGACCCUACAUGUGUAGGAUAGGUGGGAGGCUUUGAAGCACGUACGCCAGUAUGUGUGGAGCCGUCCUUGAAAUACCACCCUUGUAGUGUUGAUGUUCUAACGUUGACCCCUUAUCGGGGUUGCGGACAGUGCCUGGUGGGUAGUUUGACUGGGGCGGUCUCCUCCCAAAGAGUAACGGAGGAGCACGAAGGUGGGCUAAUCACGGUUGGACAUCGUGAGGUUAGUGCAAUGGCAUAAGCCCGCUUGACUGCGAGAAUGACAAUUCGAGCAGGUGCGAAAGCAGGUCAUAGUGAUCCGGUGGUUCUGAAUGGAAGGGCCAUCGCUCAACGGAUAAAAGGUACUCCGGGGAUAACAGGCUGAUACCGCCCAAGAGUUCAUAUCGACGGCGGUGUUUGGCACCUCGAUGUCGGCUCAUCACAUCCUGGGGCUGAAGUCGGUCCCAAGGGUAUGGCUGUUCGCCAUUUAAAGUGGUACGCGAGCUGGGUUUAGAACGUCGUGAGACAGUUCGGUCCCUAUCUGCCGUGGGCGUUGGAAGAUUGAAGGGGGCUGCUCCUAGUACGAGAGGACCGGAGUGGACGAACCUCUGGUGUUCGGGUUGUGUCGCCAGACGCAUUGCCCGGUAGCUAAGUUCGGAAUCGAUAACCGCUGAAAGCAUCUAAGCGGGAAGCGAGCCCUGAGAUGAGUCUUCCCUGAUACUUUAAGUAUCCUAAAGGGUUGUCGGAGACUACGACGUUGAUAGGUCAGGUGUGUAAGUGCUGUGAGGCAUUGAGCUAAC